UUCUGUUCUCAUGAAUCUUCAAGUUCUGCAGGUCAAAAGAUUCAAAAGUGAGCAAUAAUUGACAUAUAUAAAAUAUAAAUAAGUAAUACUUCAAAGUUCUAAGACACUAUCAUACAAACCACAGCUCUGCCAGCUACAAAGUGCAGUAAAAAUCAACAAACCUCUGUCUGAAAUAACAGCAGUAAGUACUCCAUUCCUCUAAAAACUCCAGAAUGGGAUUUGCUGCCGAGUCAAUAUAAACACUGAAGAUGACUGUGGCAGGAAGAACUCUCCACAAAAGAAUAGACUGAAGACUAAAGAAUGCAUCUUUCGUGUAUUUCUAACUGGUAACAGGAUGUCCAAGAGACUAUUUUUCUUUAAUUACUCUGCCCUAAAAAAAAAUGAAAUCUGACCCCAAAUUAAAAGGUUAUAUAUCACUUAAAGUUUAAAACAAAUAUUUCUUCCAAAAUCAAUCAGAGUUCUAGCGAAAAGAAAUAAAAACUGUCCAAAAUUAGCAACAGUUAGCAAGAUUGAUUUCUAUUAGCUAGACAAUAUUGAAAAGUUAGAGAGUCGCAGCUAUGCCUCCAAUGAAAAUUGACUCUCAAACGUACCGAGAAUCAUCGUUCCGAACCGAUACGGGCAAGCCUGUACUGAAAUCGCGCCUCAAGAGGCUCUUCGAUAGGCAGUUUCCUACUUUUCUGCGGAUUUCGUCGGUGGAGAAACUAACCGCAGCCGGUGAAGCGCAGUACGGAAAGGAUGG
RNAcentral lists this long non-coding RNA (739 nucleotides) under Panax ginseng (ginseng). RNAcentral describes it as "long non-coding RNA (PGIN_LNC011170)". The record is from RNAcentral. Lineage: Eukaryota; Viridiplantae; Streptophyta; Magnoliopsida; Apiales; Araliaceae.